CAGUCGAGCGAACAGAUAAGGAGCUUGCUCCUUUGACGUUAGCGGCGGACGGGUGAGUAACACGUGGGUAACCUACCUAUAAGACUGGGAUAACUUCGGGAAACCGGAGCUAAUACCGGAUAACAUUUGGAACCGCAUGGUUCUAAAGUGAAAGAUGGUUUUGCUAUCACUUAUAGAUGGACCCGCGCCGUAUUAGCUAGUUGGUAAGGUAACGGCUUACCAAGGCGACGAUACGUAGCCGACCUGAGAGGGUGAUCGGCCACACUGGAACUGAGACACGGUCCAGACUCCUACGGGAGGCAGCAGUAGGGAAUCUUCCGCAAUGGGCGAAAGCCUGACGGAGCAACGCCGCGUGAGUGAUGAAGGGUUUCGGCUCGUAAAACUCUGUUAUUAGGGAAGAACAAAUGUGUA
This 411-nucleotide ribosomal RNA is filed under the name Staphylococcus saprophyticus. RNAcentral's name for it is "bacterial SSU rRNA". It matches the Rfam family "Bacterial small subunit ribosomal RNA", at positions 59 to 459 of the family's 1533-position model. The record is from RNAcentral. Lineage: Bacteria; Bacillati; Bacillota; Bacilli; Caryophanales; Staphylococcaceae.